AUUGAACGCUGGCGGCAGGCCUAACACAUGCAAGUCGAGCGGAGCGGCGGAGGGGUGAGUAAGGCCUAGGAAUAUGCCUGGGCGUGGGGGAUAACGUCAGGAAACGGGAGCUAGUACUGAUUACUAACAGCUGAACAUAGGUCGGAGUAGCUAGUGGGUGGGGUAAAGGCCUACCAAGGCGACGAUCCGUAACUGGUCUGAGAGGAUGAGCAGUCACACUGGAACUGAGACACGGUCCAGACUCCUACGGGAGGCAGCAGUGGGGAAUAUUGGACAAUGGGCGAAAGCCUGAUCCAGCCAUGCCGCGUGUGUGAAGAAGGUCUUCGGAUUGUAAAGCACUUUAAGUUGGGAGGCGUUACCAACAGAAUAAGCACCGGCUAACUUCGUGCCAGCAGCCGCGGUAAUAC
RNAcentral lists this ribosomal RNA (407 nucleotides) under uncultured bacterium. Its description in RNAcentral is "partial 16S ribosomal RNA". It matches the Rfam family "Bacterial small subunit ribosomal RNA", at positions 30 to 526 of the family's 1533-position model. The record is from RNAcentral.